CUUCGGUAAUGACGUUGGGAAAGCGAGCGGCGGAUGGGUGAGUAACACGUGGGGAACCUGCCCCUAAGUCUGGGAUACCAUUUGGAAACAGGUGCUAAUACCGGAUAAUAAAGCAGAUCGCAUGAUCAGCUUUUGAAAGGCGGCGUAAGCUGUCGCUAAGGGAUGGCCCCGCGGUGCAUUAGCUAGUUGGUAAGGUAACGGCUUACCAAGGCGACGAUGCAUAGCCGAGUUGAGAGACUGAUCGGCCACAUUGGGACUGAGACACGGCCCAAACUCCUACGGGAGGCAGCAGUAGGGAAUCUUCCACAAUGGACGCAAGUCUGAUGGAGCAACGCCGCGUGAGUGAAGAAGGUUUUCGGAUCGUAAAGCUCUGUUGUUGGUGAAGAAGGAUAGAGGUAGUAACUGGCCUUUAUUUGACGGUAAUCAACCAGAAAGUCACGGCUAACUACGUGCCAGCAGCCGCGGUAAUACGUAGGUGGCAAGCGUUGUCCGGAUUUAUUGGGCGUAAAGCGAGCGCAGGCGGAAAAAUAAGUCUAAUGUGAAAGCCCUCGGCUUAACCGAGGAACUGCAUCGGAAACUGUUUUUCUUGAGUGCAGAAGAGGAGAGUGGAACUCCAUGUGUAGCGGUGGAAUGCGUAGAUAUAUGGAAGAACACCAGUGGCGAAGGCGGCUCUCUGGUCUGCAACUGACGCUGAGGCUCGAAAGCAUGGGUAGCGAACAGGAUUAGAUACCCUGGUAGUCCAUGCCGUAAACGAUGAGUGCUAAGUGUUGGGAGGUUUCCGCCUCUCAGUGCUGCAGCUAACGCAUUAAGCACUCCGCCUGGGGAGUACGACCGCAAGGUUGAAACUCAA
This 850-nucleotide ribosomal RNA is filed under the name uncultured bacterium. Its description in RNAcentral is "bacterial SSU rRNA". It matches the Rfam family "Bacterial small subunit ribosomal RNA", at positions 74 to 904 of the family's 1533-position model. The record is from RNAcentral.